RNAcentral lists this long non-coding RNA (210 nucleotides) under Trifolium pratense (red clover). Its description in RNAcentral is "long non-coding RNA (TPRA_LNC007058)". The record is from RNAcentral. Lineage: Eukaryota; Viridiplantae; Streptophyta; Magnoliopsida; Fabales; Fabaceae.
GGAAGCUGUGAUGGAGUUUUCAGUUUUCACUCUCAAAUCAAUUGUGUUGUUGUUGUUGGUUGCUUCUUCUUCAACGUCUCUCUGAGUCAGUCUACCUGUCACUCAGGUUAGUUUUGUCAUUCCACUACUCUCUUUUUUCAGAUCAGGGAUUAACUUAGAUAAUUAAUUCAUAGAUUUUCUUUUUUCUAAGAAUGAACAUUAUUACACUUU